RNAcentral lists this ribosomal RNA (253 nucleotides) under uncultured bacterium. RNAcentral's name for it is "partial 16S ribosomal RNA". It matches the Rfam family "Bacterial small subunit ribosomal RNA", at positions 524 to 776 of the family's 1533-position model. The record is from RNAcentral.
CACGAACCGUACGAACGUUAUUCGGAAUUACUGGGCUUAAAGGGUUUGUAGGCGGCCUUGUAAGUCAGGUGUGAAAGCCCUCGGCUCAACCGAGGAACAGCGCUUGAUACUGCAAGGCUUGAGGGAGACAGGGGUAAGCGGAACUGAUGGUGGAGCGGUGAAAUGCGUUGAUAUCAUCAGGAACACCGGUGGCGAAAGCGGCUUACUGGGUCUCUUCUGACGCUGAGGACCGAAAGCUAGGGUAGCGAACGGG